UCCGAUUUGUCACCGGCAGUCACCUUAGAGUGCCCAACUUAAUGCUGGCAACUAAGAUCAGGGGUUGCGCUCGUUACGGGACUUAACCCAACAUCUCACGACACGAGCUGACGACAACCAUGCACCACCUGUCACCGCUGUCCCCGAAGGGAAAGCUAUAUCUCUAUAGCGGGCAGCGGGAUAUCAAGACCUGGUAAGGUUCUUCGCGUUGCUUCGAAUUAAACCACAUGCUCCACCGCUUGUGCGGGCCCCCGUCAAUUCUUUUGAGUUUCAGCCUUGCGGCCGUACUCCCCAGGCGGAGUGCUUAACGCGUUAACUUACAGCACUAAGGGGCGGAAACCCCUUAACACCUAGCACUCAUCGUUUACAGCGUGGACUAC
Molecule: unclassified non-coding RNA, 380 nt
Filed under: uncultured Bacillaceae bacterium
Lineage: Bacteria; Bacillati; Bacillota; Bacilli; Caryophanales; Bacillaceae
Description: contains 16S-23S intergenic spacer region
Source: RNAcentral